GAAAGUAAGCAAGGGCAGACGGUGGAUGCCUUGGCUCUCGGAGGCGACGAAGGACGUGAUAAGCUGCGAAAAGCCCGGGGGAGGCGCAAAUAGCCGUUGAUCCCGGGAUAUCCGAAUGGGGCAACCCGGCAGGCUGAAGGCCUGCCAUCCCGUAAGGGAGGCGAACGUGGGGAACUGAAACAUCUAAGUACCCAUAGGAGGAGAAAAUAAACAAUGAUUCCGUAAGUAGUGGCGAGCGAACACGGAAGAGCCCAAACCCGUGGCGUCUAGGCGACACGGGGGUUGUAGGACCACGACGUGGCAAGAAAGCAGGGAAAUGGAAGCGCUUGGAAAAGCGCGCCAUAGACGGUGAAAGCCCGGUACAUGACUCCCUGCCGAAGCCUAGUGGCAUCCUGAGUAGCGCGGGGCACGAGAAAUCUUGCGUGAAACUGCGGGGCCCAUCCCGUAAGGCUAAAUACUCCCGAGAGACCGAUAGCGAACCAGUACCGUGAGGGAAAGGUGAAAAGAACCCCGAGCAGGGGAGUGAAAUAGACCCUGAACCCGUCUGCCUACAAGCGGUCGGAGCGUUGUUAUGACGUGACGGCGUGCCUUUUGCAUAAUGAACCUACGAGUUACCUUCCCCGGCAAGGUUAAGUACCUAAGGUACGGAGCCGAAGCGAAAGCGAGUCUGAAGAGGGCGGCCAGUCGGGGGGGGUAGACGCGAAACCGAGUGAUCUACCCUUGGCCAGGUUGAAGGUUGGGUAACACCAACUGGAGGACCGGAUGGGUAAGCGUUGAAAAGCUUUCCAAUGAGCUGAGGGUAGGGGUGAAAGGCUAAUCAAACUUGGAGAUAGCUCGUACUCCCCGAAAUGCAUUUAGGUGCAGCCUCUUUAUAGUAUAUCGUGAGGUAGAGCGACUGAUUGGAUGCGAGGGCUUCACCGCCUAUCAAGUCCAGAUAAACUCCGAAUGCGCGAUAUAUAUUUACAGGGAGUGAGGGCGCGGGUGCUAAGGUCCGUGUCCGAGAGGAGAAGAAUCCAGACCACCGGCUAAGGCCCCCAAAUGAUCGUUGAGUUGAACUAACGAGGUCGGAUCGCAGAGACAGCUAGGAUGUUGGCUUGGAAGCAGCCAUUCAUUUAAAGAGUGCGUAACAGCUCACUAGUCGAGCGAUCUGGCGUGGAUAAUAAUCGGGCAUAAACGAUCUGCCGAAGCCGUGGAUGUCGUAAGACAUGGUAGGGGAGCAUUCCAUGCUGCGUCGAAGAUGAGGGAUGACCCUUGUUGGAGCGCAUGGAAAAGCAAAUGUAGGUAUGAGUAACGAUAAGGGGGGCGAGAAACCCCCCCGCCGAAAGACCAAGGUUUCCUGAUCAACGCUAAUCGGAUCAGGGUGAGUCGGGACCUAAGGCAAAGCCGAACGGCGCCGCCGAUGGAAGAAUGGGUUAAUAUUCCCAUACUGCCUCAUGGAGUGACGUGGAGACGGAGAAGUGACAGUCCUGCCGGCUGACGGAAUAGCCGGUUGAAGGGUGUAGGAGUCGAUCAUGGUAGGCAAAUCCGCCGUGAGAUCCGAACCUGAGAGUAUACCGAGUACUUGUACGAGGUAAUAUGGACGUAACCAUGCUCCCAAGAAAAUCCGCUAAACUUAUCCAUGCGGCACCCGUACCGUAAACGGACACACGUGGUCGGGUUGAGAAUACUGAGGCGCUCGAGUGACUCACGGUUAAGGAACUAGGCAAAUUGACCCUGUAACUUCGGGAUAAAGGGUCCUCGUCGUAAGGCGAGGCGCAGAGAAUAGGUCCAGGCAACUGUUUAACAAAAACACAUGGCUGUGCUAAAUGGAAACAUGACGUAUACAGCCUGACACCUGCCCGGUGCUGGAAGGUUAAGAGGAGAUGUCAUCGCGAGAGAAGCGUUGAAUUGAAGCCCCAGUAAACGGCGGCCGUAACUAUAACGGUCCUAAGGUAGCGAAAUUCCUUGUCGGGUAAGUUCCGACCUGCACGAAUGGUGUAAUGAUCUGGACACUGUCUCAACCGUGAGCU
RNAcentral lists this ribosomal RNA (2009 nucleotides) under human gut metagenome. RNAcentral describes it as "bacterial LSU rRNA". It matches the Rfam family "Bacterial large subunit ribosomal RNA", at positions 1 to 2033 of the family's 2925-position model. The record is from RNAcentral.